This 157-nucleotide non-coding RNA is filed under the name uncultured Roseburia sp. Lineage: Bacteria; Bacillati; Bacillota; Clostridia; Lachnospirales; Lachnospiraceae. The record is from RNAcentral.
ACAUUAGAAAAUCUUAGUAUGCCUUUCUAUCCACAGUGAUGUUCUGCCACGGACGGCAGAACAAGGCUUCACGAGCCAUGGAUGGCUCGUUGAAUGCCGGUCACGUGACUUUGGAAAUAAUCUUUGUCAGGCAUACCUAGAUUUUUCUUAUGUUCGC